CCUACGGGAGGCAGCAGUGGGGAAUAUUGCACAAUGGGGGAAACCCUGAUGCAGCGACGCCGCGUGAGGGAAGAAGUAAUUCGGUAUGUAAAGCUCUUUCAGCAGGGGAGAAAAUGACGGUACCUGAGUAAGAAGCAGCGGCUAACUACGUGCCAGCAGCCGCGGUAAUACGUAGGGGGCAAGCGUUAUCCGGAUUUACUGGGUGUAAAGGGAGCGUAGACGGGAGUGCAAGUCUGGAGUGAAAGGCGGGGGCUCAACCCCCGGACUGCUCUGGAAACUGCACGGCUGGAGUGCAGGAGAGGUAAGUGGAAUUCCUGGUGUAGCGGUGAAAUGCGUAGAUAUUAGGAGGAACCCCAGUGGCGAAGGCAGCUUACUGGACUGUAACUGACGUUGAGGCUCGAAAGCGUGGGGAGCAAACAGGAUUAGAUACCCCUGUAGUC
This 440-nucleotide ribosomal RNA is filed under the name uncultured bacterium. Its description in RNAcentral is "partial 16S ribosomal RNA". It matches the Rfam family "Bacterial small subunit ribosomal RNA", at positions 338 to 795 of the family's 1533-position model. The record is from RNAcentral.